CCUACGGGUGGCAGCAGUGAGGAAUAUUGGUCAAUGGCCGAGAGGCUGAACCAGCCAAGUCGCGUGAGGGAAGACGGCCCUACGGGUUGUAAACCUCUUUUGUCGGGGAGCAAAGCGAGUCACGUGUGACUCAUUGAGAGUAUCCGAAGAAAAAGCAUCGGCUAACUCCGUGCCAGCCGCCGCGGUAAUACGGAGGAUGCGAGCGUUAUCCGGAUUUAUUGGGUUUAAAUGGUGCGAAGGCGGAGGUGCAAGUCAGCGGUCAACUUGCGGGGCUCAACUCCGAACUGCCGUUGAAACUGCAUCCCUUGCGGGUGCGAGAAGUAUGCGGAAUGCGUGGUGUAGCGGUGAAAUGCAUAGAUAUCACGCAGAACUCCGAUUGCGAAGGCAGCAUACCGGCGCGCAACUGACGCUCAUGCACGAAAGCGUGGGUAUCGAACAGGAUUAGAUACCCCAGUAGUC
Molecule: ribosomal RNA, 459 nt
Filed under: uncultured bacterium
Lineage: Bacteria
Description: partial 16S ribosomal RNA
Rfam family: Bacterial small subunit ribosomal RNA
Source: RNAcentral